RNAcentral lists this ribosomal RNA (378 nucleotides) under uncultured bacterium. RNAcentral describes it as "bacterial SSU rRNA". It matches the Rfam family "Bacterial small subunit ribosomal RNA", at positions 29 to 424 of the family's 1533-position model. The record is from RNAcentral.
AACGAACGCUGGCGGCAUGCCUAACACAUGCAAGUCGAACGGGAUCCUGGUUUCGGCCAGGUGAGAGUGGCGGACGGGUGAGUAACGCGUGGGAACCUGCCCAGUGGUGGGGGAUAACUGCGGGAAACUGCAGCUAAUACCGCAUGAGCCCGAAAGGGGAAAGAUUGAUCGCCAUUGGAGGGGCCCGCGUUCGAUUAGGUAGUUGGUGAGGUAACGGCUCACCAAGCCUUCGAUCGAUAGCUGGUCUGAGAGGAUGAUCAGCCACACUGGGACUGAGAUACGGCCCAGACUCCUACGGGAGGCAGCAGUGGGGAAUAUUGGACAAUGGGGCGAACCCUGAUCCAGCAAUGCCGCGUGAGUGAUGAAGGCCUUCGGGUU